This 140-nucleotide small nuclear RNA is filed under the name Balaenoptera musculus (blue whale). RNAcentral's name for it is "U2 spliceosomal RNA (ENSBMSG00010005748.1)". It matches the Rfam family "U2 spliceosomal RNA". From Rfam's summary of the family: U2 is a small nuclear RNA (snRNA) component of the spliceosome (involved in pre-mRNA splicing). Complementary binding between U2 snRNA (in an area lying towards the 5' end but 3' to hairpin I) and the branchpoint sequence (BPS) of the intron results the bulging out of an unpaired adenosine, on the BPS, which initiates a nucleophilic attack at the intronic 5' splice site, thus starting the first of two transesterification reactions that mediate splicing. The record is from Rfam by way of RNAcentral. Lineage: Eukaryota; Metazoa; Chordata; Mammalia; Artiodactyla; Balaenopteridae.
AUCACUUCUUGGCCUUUUGGCUAAGAUCAAGUAUAGUUUCUGUUAUUAGUUUAAAAAAUCAUUUUUACUUAUGGCUUAUAAUUUUAGGCAUCUGGCUAAUGAUGAAAUGCACAAUCAUAAUAUCCUCUGCUGUAACACCC